This 253-nucleotide ribosomal RNA is filed under the name uncultured bacterium. RNAcentral describes it as "partial 16S ribosomal RNA". It matches the Rfam family "Bacterial small subunit ribosomal RNA", at positions 524 to 776 of the family's 1533-position model. The record is from RNAcentral.
UACAGAGGGGGCAAGCGUUGUUCGGAAUUACUGGGCGUAAAGGGCGCGUAGGCGGCCUUCUAAGUCGAACGUGAAAUCCCCGGGCUCAACCCGGGAACUGCGUCCGAGACUGAAAGGCUCGAAUCCGGGAGAGGGAUGUGGAAUUCCAGGUGUAGCGGUGAAAUGCGUAGAUAUCUGGAGGAACAUCGGUGGCGAAGGCGGCAUCCUGGACCGGUAUUGACGCUGAGGCGCGAAAGCCAGGGGAGCGAACAGG